This 1368-nucleotide long non-coding RNA is filed under the name Selaginella moellendorffii. Its description in RNAcentral is "long non-coding RNA (SMOE_LNC001428)". Lineage: Eukaryota; Viridiplantae; Streptophyta; Lycopodiopsida; Selaginellales; Selaginellaceae. The record is from RNAcentral.
CUUGGGAUGCUGAAGGCCUCUUCCUCACGGACGCCAGCGUCUUUCCCACACCCACUGGUCUCAACCCCAUGGUCACUAUCCAGUCCAUCGCCUACUGCACUGCACAGAACGUUGUGGAGCAUGUCAAGUCGUCCAAGUGAAAGAGCAGAGCUCUAAGCUCUAAGCAAAAUCAUACCAGAGUUUGUAUUGUUUGUGAAGUACUGUGAUGGAAUAAGAACAGCGACGUAUGCCUGUUUUACGAGAGGAGAAAGAAGAUUUAGAUUCUUCGUCCCAGCAAGAGACAAACAGCUGCCAAGGAAAGAUCAGCCACAAAACUGGCUUUGUCAAUAUUGCUCUAGAGACAAACAACUCCACCAAGAGAAAAAGAAAUGCGUCCUAGUUGGAUAGAGAUGUCAGAGACUUACUUGGAUAAGGCAUCAGGACUGCAGCAUCGUCCACAAAGCCAGUCUUUUGAGGACAAAAUAAGUAUUGCCCCACACUGGAAAACCAAGAAGGAAGCAGAUCCCUGCUGGAAGGACAGGGACAUCGAGAGAAAAUGUGAGGUAGCCGGAGGUCGCUUUCCAUCCACCCUAAUAAAAUCCCAAGAACCCUAAAAAGCAGCUAUUUGCAAAUUAGUGUAGACUUUACAAUAAGUAAAUGAUUUUAACUCCAACACAAAAAGAAGUAUAAAAUUUGAGCUAAAAGAAAUUCCCUAGGGGUAAAUAUCAGAUUUUCAAUCAUGUGGAAAAUGGGGCAAAAUGUUUCUAGACAGUAGACAGGGCCCCAUAGCUAACUGUUUAUGAGUAAAGAUCCCUGGGCCGUGGAUUCCUUUAGCACGUUCUCCCUCCUGGAAAUUAUAAUGUUCCUUUAAAUCUUUUUGAGUAUGGUUCCCCAAGAACCCUAAAAGCAAGGAGUUUUAGGGUUCUAUGGCGAUGGCAAUGCGGAGGAGCGGCUGCUCGGCCAGGAUAAGGUGGGUGAUGCCGCAUUUCACUCCCUCGAGCUUCUGUAGCAGCAGCGCAUCGUCAUCGUCCGGAGAAAUCGCCGCAAGCAGCAGCACGGAGAUCGCAAGCGAUGGAGAAACCGGGAUUACUCCAAAGGCAAGGAGGAGGAGAAGGAGGUCCAAAUCCAAGGCCGACGACAGCUGCGCUGCCAAGCUCACCAUCAACAUCAAGACCGCGAUGCGUGAGUUUCGGCUGGGAGACAUCCCCAACGCCAAGGUGUGUGGGCUGCCCACGGAGAGGUCGCUCUUCACCGUCAUCCAGGGGCCUCACAUCGACAAGAAAUCGCGCGAGCAGUUUGAUAUCCAGACGCGGAAGUGGCGCGUCACCAUCGAUACGGAGACGAGUAAGUUGCGAGAGAAGCUCGAGUUUCUCAAGGAGCACAGGAUUC